Molecule: ribosomal RNA, 239 nt
Filed under: Escherichia coli
Lineage: Bacteria; Pseudomonadati; Pseudomonadota; Gammaproteobacteria; Enterobacterales; Enterobacteriaceae
Also listed under: 2 other names
Description: partial 23S ribosomal RNA
Rfam family: Bacterial large subunit ribosomal RNA
Source: RNAcentral
CCGGAGUGGACGCAUCACUGGUGUUCGGGUUGUCAUGCCAAUGGCACUGCCCGGUAGCUAAAUGCGGAAGAGAUAAGUGCUGAAAGCAUCUAAGCACGAAACUUGCCCCGAGAUGAGUUCUCCCUGAGACUUUAAGUCUCCUGAAGGAACGUUGAAGACGACGACGUUGAUAGGCCGGGUGUGUAAGCGCAGCGAUGCGUUGAGCUAACCGGUACUAAUGAACCGUGAGGCUUAACCUU